UUGAGCUACCGAGCUUAGCGGAGGUAAGCUAAUGCUAUUAGCUAAAGUCAUUGUGUUGACCUGGCAUCAGUGAGUUACACAUGAAAGCAUGGCAGGAUAACAGCAACUUCUCCAUCCCUCCAUAAUGUAG
Sander lucioperca (pikeperch) is the source of this 130-nucleotide long non-coding RNA. RefSeq lists it as uncharacterized. The record is from RefSeq and is a predicted model, not a curated record. The transcript has 3 exons. NCBI's taxonomy places the organism in Eukaryota, Metazoa, Chordata, Actinopteri, Perciformes, Percidae.